CAUUCACACUCCACACAAGUUUAGCAGGAGCUUCUUCCUCUCUCCAUCCACACUCUCUCCAUUGCUCCGUCCCGCUCUCCCCAUCGCAGGAACUUCUUUCACCACCGCCGCUCUCCCAUCGCUCCGUCCACGAAGAAGCUCCAUCGCUUACGAGCUUCAUUUUCCUGCUUCUGUUUGAGCUGUGUUUCAGUCCCCUCCAUUUAGAUCUGCGCUUCUGAAUUUUAGAUCGCGUUCCGAUUCAAUUUGAGACAAUAAUCACUUCCGUCAUUUAAAAGAUCGAAUGCAGACAUGGUUGUACUUGCUGCAUCCAUUGUGGGCAAAUCUGGUAAAGGGCUUCUUUCUUUUGGAUGCAAUUCUGGUUUCUAGGCAGUUUAUUGAUAAUGUUGCGCAGAUAUGUGUACUAGAGUUCUGUGAAGAUAGUUUACCUCUCCAAAUUUAUGUGAAGACAGAAAGUUAUGAGAAGAUAGCUUACCUCUCCAAAUUUUUGGAUAUGAAUUGUAGCAUUUCUCAAGAUGAAUAUCCUUUCCCACUUCCCAUUCAAUUUUCCUUAUAUGAUUAUGAUUAUUACUAUUAUUUCAGUAGAAACAGUAAUGAACAUCCACCACUGGAAUGUUGGGCACACGAGUUUUCAAUACAAGAUAUGGAGUGUUACCCUUCACUUCCUUUUUAUGAAACUCUCUCCAUUGAACCAAUUUCAACUAUUAAAGUGGAUGCCGGCUUUGAUUGUUCGGAAAAAGUAGUUUCGUCAUCAUCAUUAAGAAAGGCUUUGAUUGUUAAAUGUGUAUGGAUUUGUCUCUGUAUUUCGCUGACAAAUCAGAGGUGAAAACUGAUGGAGCAAACUCUAAGGGAAGAAGAUGCAGCUAACUAGGUUUACAGGGGUGAAGGAGCUGUUAAUCUUAUUCUUGCUUACAAUGGAUCAAAUCCUUCUUUUGCGGAGAGAAAGCACAUAUGUUGGAAGACUUGUUCAUAGCUCACAUUGUUGGAAUGGACACAAUGGCUCGUAGAUUCAAGAAUGCUGCUAAGUUAAUUAAGGUACCAUUGCUUACACCUAUUUAUGAAUAUUUUUCUAAUUUAGAUCUAGAGACUCCAUGUCAAAAUUUCACUCAUAAAUUAUACUAAUUUUUUCUUUUUAAUUUCCAUUAUAUGAUACUGGACCAAAGGAUGGUUCCCUUGCUCAGUUUGUUAAAAGCGAUACCAGAUUUUUGACACUAACCUAGGUGCUCAGAUAGAUGUUCAAAUUUUUAUUCUACUUUUUGUUGGUUCAUUUUUUUGAAAUUUGGUGAAGGAAAACAUAAAUGGAUUUGAUAAGCUUCAACCUGUGAUAAAGGGCUUUUAGUUUCCAAUUUUCAAGUUAGUGUUGAGCAUCAUAAUCAGCCCUUAACAUGAUUUUGAUAUCUGCAGAAAAGAGCAACUCAACAGGUAUUGUCAUUGUAGUGAUUUAAUGCUUAAUUAACUACAAAUAUGUCAUCAAUGGUCAUGUUUGAAUCUAAUCAUUAUUUCCUACACGUUAAUACUACGGAAGCUACUUGUAUAUUAUAUAUGCACAUUGUGAUAAUAAGAAACAUAUUAUGAUGGUCUUCAUCUUGCUUAACGGCAAAAAAGUGUAAAGGUGUUCAUAUAUAGGCGUUUUGAGGUUAUCAAUAAAGUUACAUAGUCUUAAGUGGAUUCUCUUAAGUGAAUUCAGGUG
This is an RNA transcript of Arachis duranensis, 1687 nucleotides long. RefSeq lists it as uncharacterized. The transcript has 10 exons. The record is from RefSeq and is a predicted model, not a curated record. NCBI's taxonomy places the organism in Eukaryota, Viridiplantae, Streptophyta, Magnoliopsida, Fabales, Fabaceae.